CCAUUUGUUUUUUUGGUGAAAACGGAGUUUCAUAUAGCUAUAUCUCGCCGCCUUUGAAAGGCUGGAGUUUGCUGCUUCCGUUGGUUAGAGAAAACGUAGCACUGCCAAGGUGCUUUGGUGGUACCCCCGGAGCCAGAAGCGGAGACGAAGAAAGAGAGAGAUGGCGCUGGCUGGACUUUACCGGCGAACCCUCCCCUCCCCUCCGGCGAUCGAUUUCGCAUCCCUCGAUGGGAAGCAACUCUUCGCAGAGGCACUUCAGAGUGGAAAUGUGGGUGGAUUCUUCAAGCUAAUUUCUUACUUCCAAACACAAUCUGAGCCCGCAUAUUGUGGAUUAGCCAGUCUCGCUAUGGUCUUGAAUGCCCUUGCAAUCGAUCCAGGAAGGAAGUGGAAAGGUAGCGCCAAGUUUCUGCAACCCUUCAAUUAAAAAAAUAGAAAUUCAACCAUGCAAUUUAGUUUGCUGAAUAGGAUUAGAUGCUGAUUUCAAAGUGCAAAGAAGAGCAUUUGAGGACAAGGAUGUUCACCAUGGUUACAAUGAAGUAGAGAAAACCAAAAGUAUGACUUGCCUUGUUUAUCUUAGAUUUGUCAUACAGACUAUAAUAACCCAGGACCUCAUCCAAAAUGGCUAGCCGGAAGGUAUUAUUUGGGUUCCUUAAUCCUGUAUAAGUAUCCAAGAUCUACCCAACGAAUAACCGAUGUGGGACUA
This is a non-coding RNA of Phoenix dactylifera (date palm), 703 nucleotides long. The record is from RefSeq and is a predicted model, not a curated record. Lineage: Eukaryota; Viridiplantae; Streptophyta; Magnoliopsida; Arecales; Arecaceae.